AAAUGCGAUAAGUAAUGUGCAUUGCAGAAUUCCGUGAAUCAUCGAAUCUUUGAACGCACAUUGCGCCCUCUGGCAUUCCGGGGGGCAUGCCUGUCCGAGCGUCAUUACGCACCCUCAAGCCCGGCUUGUGUGAUGGGCCCCGGCGUCUCGUUCGCGAGACGGGCCCGAAAGGCAGCGGCGGCGUCGACCCGAUGAGCCCGAGCGUAUGGGGACUUCUGUCACACGUUCGUGGUGCGGACCGGCGCCUGCUUGACUUUUCUGAUUAUCCAGGUUGACCUCGGAUCAGGUAGGGAUACCCGCUGAACUUAAGC
This 311-nucleotide unclassified non-coding RNA is filed under the name plant metagenome. RNAcentral describes it as "partial contains 5.8S ribosomal RNA, internal transcribed spacer 2, and large subunit ribosomal RNA". The stretch from base 1 to 104 matches the Rfam family "5.8S ribosomal RNA", at positions 51 to 154 of the family's 154-position model. The record is from RNAcentral.